AAGGAAGUGAAGGGGAGGGCCAAUCAAAUUGUUUCUUCCUAUGACUCGCGACCAAUAGGAAAAGGGAAACGGCACACCCGGCAGGAGGAGCUCCAGUCUUCACCUUCACCUUGGACGUCAUCUCCUGGCUUCCAGUGCAAACUCUUCAACUUCUGUGGCAGAUCCUUCAGCCUUCCAGUGUAGACUCUUCAGCUUUCUAUCGCAGACCUAUCGGCCUUCUGUUAUGGACUCACACGGGACACUGCAAUGAGCUCCAGACCUUCAACUAAAUCCUUCAGGCUCCAAUGUGCAGACAGAUCCUCUGCACCCUUCCUCAUCUGACUGUGGGCGUCCAUUGUAUAAAGAUAGGUGCCCCCAUCAAAGGAAGAAGUUGUUCUGAGAAAAUAAAGACAUUAUACAGAAGGCGGUACAGGUAAGAGAAUCCCUGUGAUAUUUGUAGAGAUC
Long non-coding RNA from Heterocephalus glaber (naked mole-rat), 444 nucleotides. The record is from Ensembl. Lineage: Eukaryota; Metazoa; Chordata; Mammalia; Rodentia; Bathyergidae.